Molecule: non-coding RNA, 90 nt
Organism: Guyanagaster necrorhizus
Lineage: Eukaryota; Fungi; Basidiomycota; Agaricomycetes; Agaricales; Physalacriaceae
Source: the annotation of a RefSeq genome assembly
GCCAUGGUAGAUCAACGGUAGAUCGUCUUCACAAUAUUACAAGUACUCGAGGUUAAUGAGAAAACUACGGUUCGACUCCGUGUCAUGACC